AUGCCUAGUCCAUGUCACAAAAUCAAGAGUUUAACGAAAGACGCAGUGAAUCAGACUAACCUUAUGGCGGCGAUAGGGAGUGAUUUCCAGAGAUGUUGUGAAUUCAGAAAGAUGACGAAGGCUCUACGGUUUAAAGGUUCGGAAAAAAUGGUGGAGAUGAUUGAAGAUUGGAGGCGCGAUGAUGUUGCAGAUUUACAAUGA
This is a non-coding RNA of Vicia faba (fava bean), 201 nucleotides long. NCBI's taxonomy places the organism in Eukaryota, Viridiplantae, Streptophyta, Magnoliopsida, Fabales, Fabaceae. The record is from the annotation of a GenBank genome assembly.